CCCACCCGCCCCCAGAGGUCACUCUCCCCGGGGCUCUGUCCAGGGGGCGCAGGGGAGCACAGGGCUCUGCCCCGUGAUUUACCGUCCCUUUCCACAGCGUUGGAGAGAAAGCCGGGCCUUGAGCCUGCGCCUGCAUAAUUCCUACAACUUCUCAGAGUCCUGUGGACAGUGAGGCCUUGAGCCUGCGCCUGCAUAUUCCUACAACUUCUCAGAGUCCUGUGGACAGUGACUGAGGAGAUAAACCAGGCAGGAAAUGUCU
This 259-nucleotide small nucleolar RNA is filed under the name Myotis davidii. RNAcentral's name for it is "Small nucleolar RNA SNORA73 family". It matches the Rfam family "Small nucleolar RNA SNORA73 family". Rfam says of the family: U17 (SNORA73A and SNORA73B) also known as E1 belongs to the H/ACA class of small nucleolar RNAs (snoRNAs). Lineage: Eukaryota; Metazoa; Chordata; Mammalia; Chiroptera; Vespertilionidae. The record is from Rfam by way of RNAcentral.